GACGAACCGUGCGAACGUUGCUCGGAAUCACUGGGCUUAAAGGGCGCGUAGGCGGGCUGUCAAGUCUGGGGUGAAAUGCCGCGGCUCAACCGUGGAACUGCCUUAGAUACUGACGGCCUCGAGGAAGGUAGGGGCAUGCGGAACUGUAGGUGGAGCGGUGAAAUGCGUUGAUAUCUACAGGAACUCCGGUGGCGAAAGCGGCGUGCUGGACCUUUUCUGACGCUGAGGCGCGAAAGCUAGGGGAGCAAACGGG
This 253-nucleotide ribosomal RNA is filed under the name uncultured bacterium. Its description in RNAcentral is "partial 16S ribosomal RNA". It matches the Rfam family "Bacterial small subunit ribosomal RNA", at positions 524 to 776 of the family's 1533-position model. The record is from RNAcentral.